This 276-nucleotide long non-coding RNA is filed under the name Drosophila guanche. The record is from RNAcentral. Lineage: Eukaryota; Metazoa; Arthropoda; Insecta; Diptera; Drosophilidae.
AGCCGGCAAAAAAGCAAAAAUCACACCCACAAGAGGUUGGAGGAGGGACUUUUUGCUCCACUCUCAAAGCAAAGUAAAUCCAGCCGCCUAAGCCGCGCCCAUCGAAUGGAGGCCGAACUGGGUACUAGGAGUGGGACUGGGCUUCCCGUAGUCGCCUCGAUGACAACACGCAAAAUGUAAAUGUUUGCUGUCAUUGAGUCGAAAAUGUUGGCAGGAGCCCAAACCAAACCGUUAAUAAACUCUCUAGGUGCACGAGGAAAUGGAGGCGGCGGUGGA